This 499-nucleotide long non-coding RNA is filed under the name Homo sapiens (human). RNAcentral's name for it is "non-protein coding lnc-ADGRA1-4:2". Lineage: Eukaryota; Metazoa; Chordata; Mammalia; Primates; Hominidae. The record is from RNAcentral.
CGGGAAAGGAGGCGGGAAGGCCGAGAACAAGGUGAAAGCCAGGAAGAUGGGUGAAUUGUUGUUUAAAACAUCUCAGAAUAUAUACAUGAGCAGAAUGAGCAGAACAGAAGUUAAAGAUAGAGCUUCUUCCAGCGCAGGUGAGGCCAGUAAUCAAAUCCCACUGGUGUGUAUGUCCGUAAAAGAGAACUUAGUUGAAAUCGACCUGGCAUCCCAGCUCCUGGGGACAGGCAAGCAGAAGCCGGGGGCAGGAGGGACGUGGUGAUGUGCGGGGUCCUCGCUCUCCCCGGCUCCGCUCAGAAGAGCAAGGUGCCGCCCCCCACUAGGGGAGCUGGAGAAGGGGUUAGGUGGAGUUGGGGAGGCACGGAGGGUCCCUGGUAGCGGGGUGCUGGCAAGCAGGCUCUCCAGGGAAAAGCGAAAAUGAAGCCCCUGGUUGGAAGCAUUUGCACAUCCUCCCACCACCGCUGUUUAAACUGCCCCAGGGGCAGCACCAGCUCACAAA